RNAcentral lists this ribosomal RNA (253 nucleotides) under uncultured bacterium. RNAcentral's name for it is "partial 16S ribosomal RNA". It matches the Rfam family "Archaeal small subunit ribosomal RNA", at positions 474 to 727 of the family's 1478-position model. The record is from RNAcentral.
UACCAGCACCCCGAGUGGUCGGGACGUUUAUUGGGCCUAAAGCAUCCGUAGCCGGUUCUACAAGUCUUCCGUUAAAUCCAACUGCUUAACAGGUGGGCUGCGGAAGAUACUAUAGAACUAGGAGGCGGGAGAGGCAAGCGGUACUCGAUGGGUAGGGGUAAAAUCCGUUGAUCCAUUGAAGACCACCAGUGGCGAAGGCGGCUUGCCAGAACGCGCUCGACGGUGAGGGAUGAAAGCUGGGGGAGCAAACCGG